RNAcentral lists this small RNA (29 nucleotides) under Bombyx mori (domestic silkworm). Its description in RNAcentral is "ovarian small RNA-12696". Lineage: Eukaryota; Metazoa; Arthropoda; Insecta; Lepidoptera; Bombycidae. The record is from RNAcentral.
AUUCGUUACUAUUUGGACUGGCAGAUCCC